GACGAACGCUGGCGGCGUGCUUAACACAUGCAAGUCGAACGGAGAGGCCUCUUUCUUGGGGUACUCUGGUGGCGAACGAGUGGGUAACUCGUGAGUAACCUACCCUUGUCUUUGGGGUAACUUCAGUAAACUGGCGCUUAUUCCUGAUAGAUACUCCCUCUGCAUGUUGGGGGUUGGAAAGUUUCGGUGGUUGGCGAUGGACUCGCGGCUUAUCGCCUUGUUGGAGGUGGAUGGUGUUACCAAGGCUUUGACGGGUAGCCGGCCUUAGACGGUGAACGACGACAUUGGGCCUGCGAGACGGCCCAGAAGCCUACGGGAGGCAGUAGUGGGGAAUAUUGCACAAUGGGUGGAAGUCUGUUGCAGCAACGCCGUGAGCGGGAUGACGGGCUUCGGGUUGUGAACCGCUUUCGCUCAUGACGAAGCUUUGUGUGACGGUAGUGGGUAAAGAAGCACCGGCUAACUACGUG
This 467-nucleotide ribosomal RNA is filed under the name uncultured bacterium. RNAcentral's name for it is "partial 16S ribosomal RNA". It matches the Rfam family "Bacterial small subunit ribosomal RNA", at positions 28 to 507 of the family's 1533-position model. The record is from RNAcentral.